GUCAGUAUUAUGGUUGGUAAUAAGAUUACAAGGUUAUAAAGGUUUCUUUUCAUUAUUGAAAAAAGUACAAUUAAAAUAAAUAAUGAUAUUCAUCCCCUAGUUGGUUUUUGUUACAUAUGUCACAAAUUCUGUCGUCACGUUCUAUACCCCAAAAGCGACCCCUUUCAAUAGGGAGUCGAUGAUUUAGACAUCUAAAAUGCAUAAGGCUUUUUUCAAAUCAUCUGGUAAAUUAAGUAAAUAAUAUUCUAAACCAUGAUUAUAUUUAAAAAUUCUGUAGUUAAGACAUUUUGGUGAGUUAAAAAUAGUUCAAG
RNAcentral lists this long non-coding RNA (311 nucleotides) under Mytilus galloprovincialis (Mediterranean mussel). The record is from RNAcentral. Lineage: Eukaryota; Metazoa; Mollusca; Bivalvia; Mytilida; Mytilidae.